Molecule: long non-coding RNA, 17777 nt
Filed under: Olea europaea (common olive)
Lineage: Eukaryota; Viridiplantae; Streptophyta; Magnoliopsida; Lamiales; Oleaceae
Description: long non-coding RNA (OEUR_LNC009980)
Source: RNAcentral
UGCUUUGUAAAUUUAUUAUAUAUAAUUUAUAAUAUUUUAACAUAUGCAAACUCUCUCUCUCUCUCGGGAAAUAAGAAUGGCAACUUCACAUUCUCUUUCUUUUCUCCUCUUCUUUCACUUGGUCUUUUCUCUUGGUUUUACUUCCUUUGCGUCAACUCAAUACUCUCGAUCAUCCAUUGCUUCUGACCAGAUCAAGUUCUGGUCUGAAAAUGUGCACAACAAAAUGCCCGAUUCUGUCUUCAAAAAACUAUCCCCAUUAACAAAAAGGGAUUGUGAUUAUUACAAAAAGCUGAUAACCAAAAUAGAUUUCUCAGAAAAUCCUAGUUUUUGCUCACUUGCUAAACUCUCUUGUUCAUCCGGAUUACACGAUGGUGGGGGGCAAAGAGCUACCAAUACGUACAGUAAUAAUGGUGCAUUACCUGUCAACUCCAAUACGGCAGACAAAUUUUCUUACUUCAGAAUCUCAACCCUUACAGAAGGAAAUAAAUUCCAUCUCUCAGAUUUAGAAGAAAAAAUUCCAAAUCGAGCAUUUCUCCCUCAAGAAAUAGCAUCAAAAAUUUCUAUCAGCAGAAAAAGAAUUAGAAAACUAUUUCCCAAGUCCUUUGAACUGUCAAAACAUUCUAUGGAAACGACACUUUCUUAUUGCAAUGCAGAAGCUAUAAAGGGAGAAAUCAAGAAUUGCCCAAAAUCCCUUGAAGAAAUGAUUAGCUUCUCGAAGUUCGCCUAAGGCAAAAAGGAGUUACUCGUACUGGCUUCAGAACGCACAAGAAGAAGUGAAUUCCUGAUAAGAAAGAUCAAGAAAUUUGAUAGGCAGAAUGUAGUGGCCUGCCAUGAAGUUUAUCUUCCCUUUGCAGCCUAUUUAUGCCAUUCAACCUCUUCAACUCAAAUCUAUGCUGUAGACUUGAUUGAACCCGAGACUCGACUCCCAGUUAGCACUGUGAUUGCGAUAUGUCAUAUGGAUACCUCAGCUUGGCCUGCAAAUCACGUGGCAUUUAAAAUUCUGAAAUUCUCCCCUGGAGAAGGCGAGGCAUGUCACUGGAUGUCGAACAUUGAUCUUGCAUGGAUUGCGGUUGACUAGACGGUAUGAAAUUGGAAGGUGUGUACUUGAUCUACAGCGAUGAAGUAGACGUAAUUCUUGAGCAGUUGAGGAAACUCGGUCAACGUGGCUUGUAAAUUAAGAUUGUAUAGAAGCUUGAAUUCAGUAGGUUUGUGCAACAAAGUCAUCUUUCUUAUCAUCAGAUCCUAUAUUAAAUUGAUGGGCAGAGGUGAUCUAUAAGUGUACCUUUUUCAUUGCUAUUCUGAAAUGUUGAGGAAAUCUUGGUUCAAAUCCUAUAGGAUUGAAGUAUGUUCUCAAAUAUAAUUAUAUAUUUACCUUCAAAUAUUGAGAUGAAGAUGUUCCACCGUAGUCUGUGAAUUACAUUUAUCUCGGCAAUUAAAAGUAAUCUUUAGAAGUGAUUAAUAUGUGUUUCAUACUUGGCCUCUGUUUGGCUUAGAUUUUAAUUAGAUUUAAUUCCAAAUCAAAGUCAAAUAAUCAAUAUUAACUACAUCUUUCAUGGAUCCCACAACUUUUUAAUCACACAUUUCAAAAACUUCCAUCAAAAUCUACUAAAAAUCUAAUUUUAAUCCCCACCGAAUACCCUCUUGAUCAUAUUAGUUUAUUGAUUAUUUUAGGAGAAAAACGAUAUUGGACGAGGAUGGAUGAAAAGAAAUGAUAAUUUUUUAAAAAUGAAAAAGUUCGACAUAUGUAAGAAGUUGGGGACCAAGGAAUCAAGUUUGAAAGUUGAAAGGCUUCAAUUGCAAUAUAUGAGGAUUCAAUCUGAGCAAAACGAGGAAACGUGAACAAAUUUAAACAAGUGAUAGUAUAAUUUUCAGCAAUUUGGAAUAUCCUUAAUUGACUUAAAUUACGAUUCUCUAUCAACUUGGGACUCUAUUUUAGACCUAAAUUGACGUCUAAAAUAUGAAUAUUUCAUUCAAAAUUAAGGGUGGCUAGAUAUACAAUCUUGAGGCAAAAUAAUUACACAUUCAGAUUCAUCGAACCCUCGAGAUUUGCAUCUCAAUUUGGAGUUUGAGGAUUGAAGAACACAACUAGCCGAGAGAUAUAUCUACUUUGAAGAGAAAAUUGAUGAUACAAUAUUGGAAAUUGAGUGUCAAAGAACAACAAUUGUUAGGAUUCUUUUCUUUUUAUAUCGUAUCGGACUCCGUGAGUUUUUUAAUCCUUUAAUUUUUUUAUUCCACAAUUAUGAAUGGAUAAAUAAUUAGUUAUGAUGAAUGACGUAGCUUAGAUUUAAUAUUUAUUUAAUUCAAAAGAUUUCAUGUAACUUUGUCUUUAGCGUGGCACUUGCCUUUUCCCCAGCUGCCAUUAGGUUAUUAACUGUAUUCUAGAAUCUAGUAAGCUCGAUUUUAACAACAACUAACAUUUAGUUGCUCGAUCACAAAUUUAUUGGUUUAAGCACGAUACUGAGAACGAAAUGAAGUAUAUUUGUUUAAUUCGUGCAAUAUGUGACAUGUGUUUUUAUAAGAGAAUGAGAGGUAAUUAUAGCCUUUGCAAUCUUGAUUGAAUUCCUACAAAUUAAUGCCUUUACAUGUGUAUGAAUUUAUAUAGGGAUAUAUUAAAUUCGAGUAUGUGAAUAGGUCUAGUUUUACUCGAGAAAGACUAUUAGCUAAAAUUGGUUAAUUCCAUUAUUAAUACAUAUGAAAAAGGGGUUGAAUGAUGUUGGAUUGGACAAAUGUUAAUAGCCUAAGUGAAAUUGGUGUUCCUAACCACUUAAUCCUUAAAGUUCUCCACAAAUUAGUUUAGUUAGGUUAAAUUAGAAUAUUUUAGUAUAAAUUACUUAUAAAACAAAUACUUGAUUUGAAAAGUUUUUACAACACUAAUUUAGAUUGAAGCCAGAUUUAAGAUAAAAAUUGAUAGUAAGUAUUUAAUAUUUGUGAGUAUAAUACUUGUACUCAAAAUUCACUAUUAUUACUUGUAUUAGUUCAUACACUAGUGGAAUUACGCUAUCAGUCUGCAUUUGCUAUAACAAUGAGAACAAAAUUGAGUUGCUAUACGUAUUUCCUCUCCAUACUGAAUUACCAUAUGGCUAGUACCCUAAAGUUCCCUAAAAACCCACAGCCUUGAAAAAAAUACAUAACGAACAUAUGUAAAUAUGUGGACUCAAAGGUCAUAAGUUUUAGGCUUGUGUCGAACCUUGGCUAAAUGUAAGAGAGCUCCAUUGGUCUAACGGGCAGACCAAUUGUUGGGAAAACACCUCCCAAAGAUUGUCCAAGAUCAAACAAACUUACAAUGUGAAAAAAAAAUCCCAAACCACUUCAAAGAUAAGAAAUUGGGGAAGAAAUGAUUUUUCAAUAUAUAUGAAGAACAAUGGAUUGGAUUACUUGAACAAGCCUCAAGUUAAUCCCCAAGAAAGAAAAAUAGCUUUGAAUUUAUACCCAAGAAGAACAAUCUCUUACUUGUUAAAUUCUCUUCAAUCUUUUCUCUAUUUUUCUCUCUCAAAAUUGGAUGAUAAAUGAAGGGAAAAAUAGCAAUAUAUAUAGAACUAAAUCAGGCGCCAUGGCGCCUGCAUCACUGCUCCAUCCUUUCAAUUUGGGCGCCAUGGUGCCUGCCUCCCUGCACCUUUCUUUCUUACAAAUCUUCACCUCGUACAUCAUUUGAUAGACCUCAAAUUUUGGACGAAUACAAGAAGAAGUAGCAAGCGCCAAACUCGGCUGCACCAUUCAAACCAUGGUUGCCUACGUACCCAAAACUCGGGAUCAAGUCUCCGUAGUUCACCUCCACCUUCAUGUACUCUUCACCUCAUUUCAACCUCGCCCCAAAGAGCCAUUCCCACUCGGGCAUAUCAACACGGACUAAUGUGAAGCAAGUCCAAGCAAUACUGAAACUUGCUACCUGUUACCACUUUGGUUAACAUGUCUGCUGGGUUCUCAUUUGUGUGUACCUUCAAGAGAGAAAUAUCACGUUCCUCUAUGACAUCACGCACAAAAUGAUACCUGACGUCGAUAUGCUUGGUUCGAGCAUGAUGAACCUGAUUCUCAGCCAAGUGAGUCGCACUCUGGCUAUCACACCACAAGUCCACGUAAUCCUGCUCAAUCCCCAAAUCAUCUAGAAGACCCCACAACCACAAUGCUUCUUUCACUCCCUCUGCCAUGGUCAUAUACUCGGCCUCUGUAGUAGAAAGAGCCACUGUAGCCUGUAACAUCGAUCGCCAACUAACUGGGGCACCAUGUAUGCAAAACACAUAUCUAGUAGUAGAUCGUCGUCUAUCUAGAACACCUGCAUAAUCUGAGUCCACAAACCCACUUAUAUGACAUGCAUCUCCACCAAAACAUAAACCCGUAUUCGCGGUACCUUUUAAGUACCUCAGGAUCCACUUCACAGCUUCCCAGUGUGCCUUCCCCGGAUUCGCCAUGAAUCUAUUGACCACACUAACCGCCUGUGAAAUAUCUGAGCGUGUACACACCAUGGAAUACAUCAAACUGCCAACUGCACUAGCAUAAGGUAGACGAUCCAUGCGUACCUUUUCUUCCGCUGUAGUAGGAGAUUGUUUACCAGAGAGCCUGAUUUGUGGAGCCAAUGGAGUCACCACCGACUUUGCACCUUGCAACCCGAACCUAGCAAUAACCCGCUCAAUGUAGCCUUUCUGACUCAAGAACAUUCGCCGGUUCGUCCCCUCUCUUCUAAUCUCCAUACCCAGUAUUUUCCUAGUAGCUCCCAUAUCCUUCAUCUCAAACUUUUUAUCAAGUUGAGAUUUCAACCUAUCUAUCUCCACCUUGCUCUUCGAAGCGAUAAGCAUGUUAUCCACAUACAAAAGAAGAUAGAUAUAGUUACCUUCUCGAAGUUUUCUAAUAUAAACACAACAGUCAUAAUCACUUCUGGAGAAACCAUGCUUUAGCAUGAAGGAGUCAAAUCGCUUGUACCACUGCCAAGGAGAUUGCUUCAAUCCAUAUAGUGAUUUUCUCAAGCGACAUUCCUGAAGUUCCUUAUCCUCAACCUUAUAGCCCUCAGGUUGAUGCAUAUAUAUUUCCUCAUCCAAGUCCCCGUGCAAGAAGGCGGUUUUGACAUCAAGUUGUUCCAGCUCAAGAUCAUGAUGAGCAACAAUACUCAAUAGCACCCGAAUGGAAGUAUGCUCGACCACCGGAGAAAAGAUCUCAUUGUAGUCAACUCCCUCUCUUUGUGCAAAUCUCUUAGCCACUAACCUUGCUUUGAAUCUUGUACCACCGAGCUUGCUAAAAUCCUCUUUCUUUUUGUACAACCACUUGUAACCAAUAGCUUUCUUACCUAUGGGCAAUGGGACAACCUCCCAUGUUUGGUUCUUGUGAAGUGAUUCCAUCUCUUCUUCCAUCGCUGCCAACCAACUCUCACUAUUGUUGUUUAAAAUAGCUUCCUUGAAAGUGGCAGGCUCAUCAUUCUCCACCGAGAGUGUAUACUCAACCAAAUUUGUUUACCCAUAGUGCCUCACAAGCUCGUCUGACCCCAACUUUAAAACUUGCUUGUAAGUACGCCGUGGCCUAGAGAAAGCCAAGUUAUCUGCAAGCUGUUGUUGUUGCUAUGCCUGUACAUUCUCUUGUUGAACCGCCUCUUGUUCAAGCUCAUCACCACUCUCAUCUUGAGUGUCUGCAUGAUGCUUCUCUUGAACAUGACUAGAACCAGGUUGAUCUCUAGGUUCUAUUUCAACAACUUGAGACUUUGUAGUCUCAACAUCAUCAUCACCGGGCACUGUAGCUUUCAACGAAGCUAUCAUGGAGUUCUCAUCAAAAGUAAUAUCUCUGCUGAUUAUGAAUUUAGAAUCCUCUACACACCAUAGGCGAUAGCCUUUAACACCUGCCGCAUACCCCAAGAAUAUAGCCUUCUUGGCCUAGCAUCAAGCUUUCCCUUGUUGACGUGAUAGUAGGUUAUGCAUCCGAAUAUUCUGAGUUUCUCAUAAUCUGCAUAUUCUCCUGUCAAUACCCUGUAAGAUACAUCUCCAUCUAACCUUGAAUGUGGAGACCGGUUCACAAUGUAGCAAGCAUUUGCAACUGACUCUGCCCACCAUUCUCUGCCCAAACCAGCAUAGGAUCGCAUACACAUCGAUUUCUCUCGAAUUGUGCGAUUCAGUCUUUCUGUGACCCCAUUCUGUUGCGAUGUAUUCCUAACUGUCCAGUGUCUCGCAAUGCCUUCCUUAUCACAGAACUCCUUGAAAGCACCAUCUGUAUACUCAGUACCGUUAUCAGAUCGCAGUGUCUUCAAUUUCUUUCCUGUUCUGUUUUCAACCAUUGCUUUCCACUUCUUGAAAGUGUCGAAUACCUCAUUCUUAUGCUUCAAAAAAUAAAUCCAAGCAUAUCUAAAAUAAUCAUCAACAAAUGUGACAAAAUACCUGAAACCGCCUUUGGAAGUGACAGAAGCCGAACCCCAUACAUCCGUGUGCACAUAGUCUAGAAUACCUCUGCUUCUAUGUUUGCUUGGCUGAAACUGAACUCGGUGUGCUUUACCGUGCACGCAAUGCUCGCAAACAUCCAUGCAAGGCUUCUUCAAGUUCUUUAGCAAGCCUUUCUUGACUAGCAGAUCUAGCCCCUUUUCAGACAUAUGCCCAAGCCUCAUAUGCCAUAGCCGGGUGCACUCACAUGGGUCUCCACCACUUCCACUUGUUCCAACCGCUAAAUCUUCUGUAACUGUAGUACCCUGAAGAGCAUAGAGAUUGCCUUCACGAAUACCCUUCAUCACAAUCAAAGAACCACGAACAGCCUUCUUUACUCCAUUCCAUGUUACAAUCUUGCAACCACCGGAGUCUAAGGCACCAACAGAGAUAAGGUUCUUCCGCAAAUCAGGAACAUAUCUAACAUCCAUCAAUGUUCUAACCACUCCAUCAUACAUCUUGAUUCUUAUUGAACCGAGCCCUACCGUUUUACAGGAAUGGUUAUUACCCAUCAACACGGUUCCACCAUCAGUGCUUCUAUAGGUAGUAAACCACUUCCUAUUUGGACACAUAUGGUAAGAGCAUCCAGAAUCAAGAAUCCACUUACCGGAGAUUUCUCUAUCACAAGUGAUGGUGUAGCACUCAUCGCCUUUCCCUCCUUCCGGGGCAUAGCUAACCUCUUGCUUGACUUGCACCUUCCCGUUGUUGUUAUUCUUAUUGUUCUUCUUCCAACCCCUUUUGUUAGUACAAUUUGCCUUGAAAUGCCCAAGCUCGCCGCAUUUGAAACAAGGCCUUUCCGAAAGAGGUCUAGAACUCGAUCUAGAUUUUUCUCCCUUACCCUUUGGUCGCACAUUGCUUCUACCUCUUACAAAUAAUCCUUGAGCUUGCUCCUUGUUACCAAUGGUAGACAUGCCACUAGUUACAAUCUUUCGAAGAUCAUCCGCUAGAAGUGACGUUCUAGUGUCCUCCAUCACAAGUUUAUCACCUACAAGCAUCAAUGUUUGUACUAGGUUCUCGACUUUGGCAAUGAAAGAAGUAGUAGAAGAGCUUGAUCCUCAUCAUCUACUUUCACAUCAAUGUCCUUCAAGUCCGAUAUGCACCUAUCAAACUUGUUGACGUACUCCCGGAUUGGUGUACCUUCAUCCAUCUUGCAAGUAUACAAUUUGGACUUCAAAUAGAUCCAAUUAGUUAGAGUCUUCGUCAUGAAGUUCGUCUCCAACUUUGUCCACACCUCCGCCGCCGUUUCCUCACCAUCAACCAAGAAAGCAACAUCUCUUUCAAGGCAUAGAAUGAUAGACGCUCGUGCCUCAAGAUCUAGCUCUUUCCAAUCCUCGUCAGACAUAUCUAUAUGCUUCUUCUCCUUUCCCGCCAAUGCCUUGUACAACUUUUGAGAAAUUAACAAAUUUUUCAUUUGCAUUCUCCAAUAUGAGAAGUUAUUCUUCCCAUUGAAUUUCUCUAUCUCAUACUUCCCAAUCUUUACCGUUCUUCUAGUAGACAUGAUUUAUCUACUUGUUUAUCGGAAAUAAACCAACAAAGUACACUUGGAAAUUUUCACAAACACCUUGUGUGCACAACAAAGUUCAAGCCAACCACCAAAAAUCGGAGCUUAACCACCAUAAUUUAAGAAGAUGCUCUGAUACCAAAUUGUUGAGAAAACACCUCCCAAAGAUUGCCCAAGAUCAAACAAACUUGCAAUGUGAAAAAAAAUCCCAAACCACUUCAAAGAUAAGAAAUUGGAGAAGAAAUGAUUUUUCAAUAUAUAUGAAGAACAAUGGAUUGGAUUACUUGAACAAGCCUCAAGUUAAUCCCCAAGAAAGAAAAAUAGCUUUGAAUUUAUACCCAAGAAGAACAACCUUUUACUUGUUAAAUUCUCUCUAAGCUUUUCUCUAUUUUUCUCUCUCAAAACCGGAUGAUAAAUGAAGGGAAAAAAGCAAUAUAUAUAGAACUGAAUCGGGCACCAGUUUCGUGCAGAAACUUGGGCACCAUGGCGCCCGCAUCACUGCUCCAUCCUUUCAAUUUGGGCGCCAUAAGUGGGCGCCUGCCUCCCUGUACCUUUCUUUCUUACACCAAUGCAUUACUAGAGAAAGAGUCUAAGGGCUUCAAGCUGCUUAGUAAUAAAUACUUGUCCUUUCCCGUUAUGGCUUGAUGUCAAAAACUAUGCACAUAUAGUAACACUAUAAUAUGACUGUCCAAAAAUUCUUUAAUAUAGAAUUUAUGAUUAAAUCCAACGGACUUAGCCCUUGUUUGAGCCCAUCUUAUCAAAAAUUUAUUUUUUCAAAACUUAUUUUCAAUCACAAUUCUCCAAAAAAAUAAUGUUACAUGUAAAUUGAAAACUUUUUCUUAUUUUUUAACAACACAUUCUCCAAAAAACAUUAUUCCAAAAAUACUUUUUUUUCCCUUCCAAAUGGGGCUCUAACAAUGGCUUGAUAAAAAUUUGAAGUCAAUUUCUGUAUCUUUAGCUAAAAUUACAUUUUUCAAUAGUAAACUAAGAGUUUGUAUUAAUUUUCUUUGAAUUAGUGAUCACAUUUAAUAUACUACAAUCCUAUGAGAUCAUUCAACUUCAGACAUGCUAUCUUGAUGCCUAACGAGUAAAUACAAUUGUUGAAUGGAACAUGCAUUAGUAGACGUGUCAAAAUAAAAUGAUAUAACGCUAAAAAUAUUGAUGGCCGUCCAUGUUAGAAUUUGUAAACUUGUAUCAUAUUUGUUUUGGAAGUGUUGUACUGUGUCAAUAUCCUUGUUGCAUUCCAUCUUGCUGCAUAUUGAACAAGCGUGGCACUCUGUCCUCAGAUAAAGAGGUAUAACAAAAUAUCGAUCAAUAAUCUCGUUGAUUUCGUGAAAUUUUGAGAGAGAUCGAAAAAUAGUUUGAGCCGUUGACCCCCGGUCCACCUCUUAUUAGGGUAAAAGCCAUGAGGUAUAGACUUAUAUGGGGAGUACUAUAUAAGCACUUGAUAUGGGUACAAGUUCAUCAUCUAUUACGAAUUUUGAAGAUUGUUUAUGAUUUAUUAUGAGUUCAUUUUGCAUUUUAAUAGUGUUUUGGAUUAUGGUGAGGCUUACGAAUCCUCUCAUGAAAGAAAAAUGCUUAAGAAUCCAAUAACGCCUUUCUUAAAUAUCGAUUGUCCGAGCCCUUUUGGGGAAAUGGUUAGAAAAUAUGUCAAGAUAAUAUGGCUGAUUUUGUCUUGAAAGCUUGAUGAAAUAGAGAUGGGAACACUCUUGAUCAUGCUUUGGAAUGAUUGGCGAAACAGAAAUGAUAGUCUACGAAUGGGGUUGUUGGAAAAUAAUUAGUUGCAGUAACUUGUAGAAUAGUAAAAUGUAGAAAUAAAACUUAUCGACUGAUCGAGUUUCGUGACAGCACGAUGUUUUAAAGUGAAACUGUCCAUCAAUAACUGCUGGAACAUCUGUGGACCUAUGUAUUUGGGUAGAGUUUAGGCUGGAAAAAAUAAGUUUGGCUGGAGUAUAUUUUGUGGGUUGGGGGAUUGGGGUAGUUUAGUGGAUAAGGGGUUUGCUUGUUGAAUAGCACAUUCAAGGAUGGCAAUAGCAACAACGUAGAAUAAACCCUUUUUUUUUUUUUGGGUGUGAACAUUUCCCCAUGAAUAGUAACUUUUUUUUUCCAACCAAAAGAAAAUUGAAAAAUUGAAAAUUGCUGUUUUUACGCUAAAUCCUUUUCACUUCUACCGUUCCAACAAAUUUUGGGUAGAAGACAUGAAGAAGUUUUGGAUUGUGGAUUAAGCUAACCCAAGUUUUGGCUUUGAUAACAAUUUGAUGUAGCACCAAUAAAAAUACCCAAUGGAGAAUAAGAAAACCAAUCAGCAGGAAGAAGAAAUCAGAGGCAGAGAUGGCAAAAGAAGAAAUUAGUAGAAGGAGGAGAAUAAUGAAGAGAGGAAACUUUCAUCACAAGCCACCAAAUGAUUUUAUUCAAUCUCAAGUGUUUCAAUUUCAUGACAAACUAGAUUUAAAUAACAAAAAGAAAUCCUAAAGAGAAUGGGUUUGGGUCAAACCCUUAUACAAGCCCAAUUAUAUAAAUAAGAGUCCCAACAUAAAUAAAAGUCCAACUAGAAAACAAAUAAAAUGGAUGUCCUUAUCAGAAUGUCUUGAUUUGGUUAUAAGUUAGAUUCCUUUCUAUCGUUGAAAAAGUAGAUAUGUGUAUCUAUUUGACUUUCAUAUAUAUUGUCUAUGGAAGCUUUAAAUGCCUUGUUUCUCUUCUGGAUAUGAGUAAGACAAUAUAGAACUACAGUAAUCUUGAAGUAAUACUGUUAGUGGUAUGCAGUUCUAUUAGUAACUAUGAAUUGCAUUGAUUAUAUAACACUUACUAAAUGCCAAGUCUUUUAUGGUCAAGUUUAGAAUGUGAAUUGAAAAGGAUGAACAUGAUGAUUGAUAAAUUUUGUUACAUAUUCUUUGCUAUUUAAUUUUGAAAGAAUAAAUUUGCUGAAUAUUUUAGACCCACGUGCUGAAUUAAUUACAAUAACAAGCAAUCAGUCACUUAUGAAGUGUGUGUUUGAGCCACAUUAUUUUAAAAGAAUAAUUUUGGAAUGGUAAAUUGAUGGAGAACGCAUGAUUAAAAAAUGAGCAAAAGUUUUGGAUUUGUGUGUAAUGAUAUUUUAUUGAAGAAUGUGUGAUUGAAAUGAUAUCAAAUCACUGUUUAAGAAUGUAUUUUUUUAUAAAAAUGCGGCUCAAACAGGCCAUAAUUGUUUCUAGAUGAUUAAAAUAAUUAAUUUAAAUAAUUCUAUAUUUACACGAUCACAAUAGAUCAAAAGCAGCAAAUAAAUAUGAACAUCAUAUGAUCGCAGUGAAAAACUCCUUCAAUAGGAUUAGAAACUCUGGGUACAAUGGCUGUAAUAUCCACUAUAAACGACAUGACUUACAGUACGGUUCAAACUCGACUAAUUUUUAGUACUCUCUAGCCUUCUUUCUAUCACCAUAAUGGACCUCCUUGGGCUAGGUGCUAGAGCACCAGCUCUAGAACUCCUGGAAUCGUCUAUCUCUUAUGGAUGAUCAAGAACGACCUUGUUCUCCUCUUAUCAGAACCCUGGUCACUUUCGUAGAUCAUCAUAUCCCUAAUACAUGCUUCGGAAGUGGGUGGUUUGGUGUUUGAACAGCAGUCUUUUUGUGUUUUGAUCUGUGGCUGAGGCAAGAGAUAUUGGAAUAUGCCUAUGAUCUUCAAAGUACGUUCUCUUGACUUAAUUCAAUGCUCGACUUAUGUUUGAACAAUGUUUGGGAUAAACUAUAUGAACAAUGAUUUUGAGAUUAAAUCAAUAGAAUUAAUGGAAUGUGUUUAUGAUCUUCAACAAUGAGAUCUCGAAGAAAAAAUAAUGAUUCAACACAUCUUGGACAAAGUAGGGUAUGCAUAUUUAUAUUGGGCAGUUUUUGUGGUUGUAUAUAGGAUUGUUAAAAGUGUCUAAAAUUGCGACCUAGAGUUUCUUGAAAAAAUUAGGAUUUUGCUUAUGCUCGCCUGAUGUUGGGGAUUUCGCACCAGCGAAAGGUUGGCGUUAGGCUAGCAUCAUCAUCACUGUUUUGAGCGUUUGAGUAUGACUUGGCAUUGAGCUAACAUCAUUUUGAAAACUUUAAUUCUUUGUUACAUACUUGAGCCUAGGACUCCUAUUUGACCUAUACAACCAACCGUAUCUCUUUGACUUUAUUUGUAUCUCAAAUAACCUAGAUUUUGUCUAAGGAAUAGCCAAUUACAAUUAGGAGAAUUAAAUUUAUUCAAUCCCAUUGUGCCUAUCACACUAUAUACGUUGUUGUCAUAAAAUAUGAUGAACUUACUAAAGAACCUAAUCAGAGAACACCAGAAAUAGUGUCUCCAUAUUGUCUUAUGCUUGAUAGCGUGGACUAGGUACAGUGGAUAGAACAAAAAGAUGUCCCCAGUAAAGCACUAAAUCUUAGUGUUAGAGGCUAUCAAUGCUGUCAUCAUAUUGAAAUUCUUCAUUUUUGAAGCUUGGAGAAAUAGUUCCUCGGGCAAUAAAUUAAAGAUUAUUAUGCAAUUUCUCCAAUCAACCUUUAAAUGAGAAAGUAAAACCUCAAUUGUACAUUAUAAUUGUUGUUUGUGAAUGAAUGAAAUUAAAUCCUCAAUUGUACAUUAUAAUUGUUGUUCGUGAAUGAAUGAACCUGUUAAAAUAUUUGUUAAAUCAUCUAUCACAUGUCCAAUCUUAUCGAGUUAUACUUCAUGAAGUGAGGCACAUUUACUGAUAAUUUAGUUACAUUUGAAUUAUUUUCAUAAUUGGAGGCUAAUUGUGCCUAAAAUGAGAAUUAACCAACUAUGCGAACCAAUAAUGCUUUUUUCCUUAUCAGAAAAUGACUGCAAACCAAUAGAUGUAGAAGAAGGGUUUCAUAAAGCAUAAACAUCUAAAGGCUAUUAAUUUCUACACAAAUCAAUUAUGAAGCCAAUUUUCUAUUUUUUUUAAUGUAUUCUCUUCAUUAUUUGAGCAAGCCGACACUCUCUUUAGAGUAUAAUGUUAUUCAUAGUCGUUUACUGGAUGGUCAUCCAAAGGCAUCUUACAUAGUGAUUUAUGAUUUGAUGCAUUAAUGUGAUAGUUUUAUCUUACCUCAUAUAUCAAAUCACUAACCGUCAUAUGUACGCCAUGAAAGAUGACUACAACAGUGAGUGAUUACAAAUAACAUUAUUUCUGUCUUUAUGUCCAUACCCCGUCGGUCCCACAUUUUAACAUCGGCAUGACUAAAAAUUCAUAAUUAUAAUUCUAUCCCAGGUAUACUGAUAUUCCAAUGAAUAUUUCAUGUAAUGCUAUUUUUUUUUUCUGGCUACAUGUUGGAUUGGAUAAUCCCAAUUUGCAGAAUUUGAGCAUUUCUGUUCAAGAAUAUUCUUUAUUUAGAUGAUAUUUUGUCCCUCUGAUAAUUAGAUCAAAGUUUUUGGCCAACCAUUCAGAAGAUAGUGAAAAAAAAUACAGAGGAAGAUAUUUAAAGAAACCAAAUUAGAAAACUUGACUGGGGCGAGUGACACUAGGUCGCUCACCAAAAAAUAGAAGUUUGCAAGUUUAGCCUCAAAAAUUGAAUUAUCAAACCAUGUUGAAAAUUAUGAAUUGUUUGUCUUCUUGUUUCAAAGUAGAAAACCUUAUUUGUAGGGUUACAAAAAACUGUAAUAAAAAGACAAUUGUGUGAUUAUCACAAAGAAUAAUGUCUAUUAUUUUCAUAUCUUCGACAAAUACAUCUAGAUGGAAACUUUUUCCACGAUAAAGAACAAGGGGAGAGAGAGAGAGAAAAAAAAAAAGAUAAAUGGUACUCUAUAUCAAUAAAUAUUGUAAAUGCACCCAAUGAUUUCAGAAGCUUUGCGCUGCCAACGCUGACUAGAGUCUACCAAAAAGACACUUUGAUAUCUUGCUUUCCCGUUAAUUAUUAGAACAAAAGGAUGGCCCUCAUAAAGAAUAAAAAUCUUAGCGUGUUUGACAAUUAUUAAAAUUAAAAUCUUUUUUUUUUCUCAUAAUAAGAUAUUCUACGUGAAAACCUAAAAUUUCUUCGUAACUUAUAAUCACAUUUUCCAAAAAAAAUCACUAAUCCAAAAUUCAUUUUCCCCCAAAAAAAAAAAAAAUCAUUUUAAUGAUUGUCAAACAGGGUUUAGUGUUAGAGGCUCUGCGUAUUAAAAUUUUUCAUUUUUGAAGCUUGGAUAUAUAGUUCCUUAGGCAAUAAAUUGAUGAGUAACUAUGCAAUUUUUCCUAUUUCGUAGAAAAAUUAUAAAUUUAGUCCUCAAUUUGUUGCCUAAUUAGAAGUUGGUCAUCAACCUUAAAAAGAGGAAGUGAAUCCUCUACUUUAAACUAUAAUUGUUGUUAGUGAAUGAAGGAAUCUGUCAAAAUAUUUGAUAAAUCAUCAUGCAGCCUCCCAUGUAAAAUCUUACGACGAAGUUAGAUUUCAUAUCCCAACAUAGGUUGGAGGCAUAUUUUCAGGAUAAUUUAGUUGAGAUUUGAACUAUUUCCGCUCUUAGUCAGAAGCGAUUGAAUCUCCUUGUCCCAUCUCUUGGACCCUUACUAUUGGAACCAACAACGCACUUUCACUAUCAAGACAUGACUGCAUGCCAAUAGAGGUAGAAGAAGGGUUUCAUAAAGCAUAGAAAUCACAUGGUUAAGGGCUAUUAAUUUCCACACAAAUCAAUUAUGAAGCCACUUUGCUAUCUUUUUACUGUACUCUCUAAAUUAUUUGUUCAAGUUGGCAUUCACUUUAUGUCCGCUCAUGGCCGGUCCAAUAUUUUACCAUCAGCAUGACUAAAAAUUCAUAAUUACGACGUUUCUUGAAUUAUGUCCUAAGCAUACUAUUAUUCCAAUGAAUUUGGCAUGAUGUGAUGCUACCAUUUUCCUUUUUCUUUCUGGCUACAGUUUGGGUUGUAUGUUCCAAAUUUGAAGAAUUUGAGUUCCAGAAUUCUCUUUAUUUAUAUUGCAUUUCGUCCAUAAGAUAAUUAGAUCGAAGUUUUGGAUGAUGAGAUUUCAUUUAGAUUAACCUUCAUUUUUUAAAACUUAUUUUUCUUCAAACUCAUUUUCAAUCACACGUUUCGUGGGGCUCAUAACUUUUAUCAACUUUUUAACCAUGUUUUUCAUUAACUUUUAUCUAAAUGACUAAGUCUACUAAAAAUCUAAUUUUUAGUUUUAAACAAAACAAGGGCUUAGUAUGAUAUCAAGGAGUUGAAAGAUCUUGAAAUUGAGUGUUUUUGUAAACCAUUUGUGAAUAUUUUAACACCAAAUAUUUAACGACGUGGUAUAAUUACAAGAAAAUUCUUCCAUGGGCACAAGGAAUACCUACAUGCAAAAAGUCAAUUACCUUAAAUUUCACUUGCCAAGGUAAUAUUCAAUUGGAUCUAGAUGCAUAAAGUCAUUUAUGUUAAAUUUUACUUCUAAGGUAAGAGCACCUUCAACAAUUCUCAUUAUAUUAAAAAGCAUUUUGAGGUAGGGAGGGACUGCAUAUAACAUUAUUUUAUUAAAAAUAAAGAACAUUUCUUACAAGUCCAAUAUGCUAUUUAUAGUUCAUUAUUAUGAUUUUUUUGACAAACUAUCAUGGUUCACUGUUGUAUUAGAAUUUCAGAAGUGGACGAUGCUAUAAAGAAGCAAUAAAGUGGAUAUAAAAGUUCAUAUUAUUGUUUCUAUAAGGAUUAAGUACUUAAUCUAGUUCCAACUAAAUCUAACUUUUAUCGAAUAGAAAGACUUUCAAAUAGUUUUUUGUUAACAAAUAAAACAUAUAACUACUUUUAGCGAUGGCAAAAAAAUUCGCCCCGAAUGGGUUGGCGGGGUGGGGAUGUCCCACCCCGAAUCCACCCUGUGAAGGAAAAAAAUAAAAAUAAAAAUUUAAAAAUAAUUUAUUUCUAGACAAUUCACCCGUAAAAAACCUAUUUUGAAUUUGUAUUUUAUUCUCUAAUAAUAACAUAACUCGAAAUUAAAAAGAAAUAAAAAAAAUUCAACCAGGCAAAAAGUUUUCCCGUCUCCGCCCCUCUUAGACGGGGCGGGGUUUGGGCGAGAUGGGGCGGCGUCCCAAACCCGCCCCUGUUGCCAUCCCCAACUACUCUAGCUAAUCUAACAAAUUAAUUGGGAAGCUUUUGUGAUGCUUAAGUAAUAACGAACACUUGGAAUUCGAAUUUUCCUACAUUCAUCCAUUUAAAAAUCAAUGCAAGAUUUGGACAACACUUAUUUGUACUAAUCAAAGUUAAAACGUGUAAAUUAAAUUUGGCUUCUUCUUUGUAAGAUAUAUGUAAUUUCUGCCCCUAAGUUAUCAAAAGAUUGUAAAAAAUAAUCUCUAUGUAUUUUUUUAAAUAUGUGAAAUUAUUUUCCUUAAUAGUUGAUUAUGUGAUAAUUACGCAAGUUUCCAUUGAGAGUUAUUUGUAACCCUAUCUUCUACUUUGUAAUAGAAAUAUAAGUUUAUAACAAUUUAGCACCCGUUUGGCUCCCUUUAAAACUCUUCAAUUUAAUUAAAUUUUUUUUCUAUUUUCAACCACACAAUUUUCAAUAAAUUAAUAUUACACACAAAUCGAAACUUUUCAAUCUUUUACAAUCAUUCAUUUUUCAAAAAAACACUAUUCUCCCAUUAUAAAUUGAAAUAAUGGAGACCAAAUGAGGGCUUCUAAUAUUCUAACAUAUGCAAAAUUUCUCUCUCUAGAAAAAAGAAUGGCUACUUCACAUUCUCUCCCCUCUCUCCUCUUCUUUCACUUGGCCUUUUCGCUUAGUUUCACUUCCUUUGCGUCAACUCAAUACUCACCAUCAUCGAUUGCGUCUGACCAGAUCAAGUUCUGGUAUGAAAAUGUUCACAACCAAAUGCCAGAUUCUGUCUUUAAAAAACUAUCCCCGUUAACAAAAACGGAUCGUGAUUAUUACAAAAAUCUGAUAACCAAAAAAGAUUUCUCAGAAAAUCCUAGUUUUUGCUCACUUGCUAAACUCUCUUGUUCACCCGGAUUAAAGGAUGCUCGGCGAAAACCAACCAAUACGUACAGUAAUAAUGGUGCAUCACCUAUCAACUCCAAUGCGGCAGACAAAUUUUCUUACUUCAGGAUCUCAACCCUUACAGAAGGAAAUAAAUUCCAUCUCUCAGAUUUAGAAGAAAAAAUUCCAAAUCGAGCAUUUCUCCCUCAAGAAAUAGCAUCAAAAAUUUCUAUCAGCAGAAAAAGCAUUACAAAACUAUUUCCCAAGUCCUUUGAACUGUCAAAAAAUUCUAUGGAAAUGACACUUUCUUAUUGCAAUGCACAAGCUCUAAAGGGAGAAAUCAAGAAUUGCCCAAAAUCCCUUGAAGAAAUGAUUAGUUUCGCAAAGUUUGCCUUAGGCAAAAACAAGUUACUCGUGCUGGCUUCAGAACGCACAAGAAGAAGUGAAUUCCUGAUAAGAAAGAUCAAGAAAUUUGAUAGGCAGAAAGUAGUGGCCUGCCAUGAAGUUUAUCUUCCCUUUGCUGCCUAUUUCUGCCAUUCAACCUCUUCAACUCAAAUCUAUGCUGUAGACUUGAUUGAACCCGAGACUCGACUCCCAGUUAGCACUGUGAUUGCGAUAUGUCAUAUGGAUACCUCAGCUUGGCCUGCAAAUCAUGUGGCUUUUAAGAUUCUGAAAUUCUCCCCUGGAGAAGGCGAGGCAUGUCACUGGAUAUCGAACAUUGAUCUUGCAUGGAUUGCUGUUGACUAGACGGUAUGAAAUUGGAACGUGGCUUGUAAAUUAAGAUUGUAUAGGAGCUUGAAUUCAGUUGGUUUUUGCAAAAAAGACAUCUUUGUUAUCAUCAGAUUAUAUAAUAAAUUGAUGGGCAGAAGUGAUCUAUAAGUAUACCUUUUUCAUUGCUACUAUGCAAUGUUGAGAAAAUCAGAGUUCAAAUCCUAUAUAUUGAAGUAUGUUUUCAAAUAUAAUUAUAUAUUUACCUUCAAAUAUCGAGAUGAAGAUGCUCCACCUGCAGUAGUCUGUGAACUACACUUAUCUUGGUCACUAAAAGUAG